Non-coding RNA from Peromyscus maniculatus bairdii (prairie deer mouse), 228 nucleotides. The record is from RefSeq and is a predicted model, not a curated record. NCBI's taxonomy places the organism in Eukaryota, Metazoa, Chordata, Mammalia, Rodentia, Cricetidae.
GUGAUGCCACCUCAGUUCAAAAAGGAUUUGGAUUCAUAUCUUAAAACUCGAUCUCCUGUCACUUUUCUGUCGGAUCUUCGCAGUAACCUACAGGUAUCUAACGAACCUGGCAAUCGCUACAACCUCCAGCUUAUCAAUGCACUGGUGCUCUAUGUAGGGACUCAGGCCAUCGCACACAUCCACAACAAGGGCAGCACGCCAUCAAUGAGCACCAUCACCCACUCGGCA